Molecule: small RNA, 282 nt
Filed under: Prolemur simus (greater bamboo lemur)
Lineage: Eukaryota; Metazoa; Chordata; Mammalia; Primates; Lemuridae
Description: Metazoan signal recognition particle RNA (ENSPSMG00000001856.1)
Source: RNAcentral
GCCGGGCGCGGUGGCUCACGCCUGUAAUCCUAGCACUCUGGGAGGCCGAGGCGGGCGGAUCGCUCGAGGUCAGGAGUUCGAGACCAACCUGAGCAAGAGCGAGACCCCGUCUCUACUAAAAAUAGAAACAAAUUAGCUGGCCAACUAAAAUAUAUAUAGAAAAAAUUAGCCGGGCACGGUGGCGCAUGCCUGUAGUCCCAGCUACUCGGGAGGCUGAGGCAGGCGGAUCGCUCGAGGUCAGGAGUUCGAGACCAGCCUGAGCAAGAGCGAGACCCCGUCUCU